GAAGGUUCUGAGAACUGGAAAAGCUGUCUGGCUUGGUGUCCCAAGGAUGGACCCUGCUGUCCCUGCUGCUGACCCUGCAGCUGCUCCUGCUGCUGCUCCUGCUGCUGUCCCUGCUGCUGCCCCUGCAGCUGCUCCUGCUGCUGCCCCUGAUGCUGUCCCUGAUGCUGCCCCUGAUGCUGUCCCUGAUGCUGCCCCUGAUGCUGCCCCCCAUGGCCAGGACCUGGCCCAAGCCCCUGCCCUAGCACAAAUCAAUGGACGAGAAGGUGCUGAGAAUGAACGAGAAGCUUAUCUUUGGAGACCCUGGCUGUCCUCUAUAAAUGACCAGCCAAGGCAGGCUAGGAGCCUGGUGGACUGGGCUGCUGGUGAGGCAACAGCUGCUGAGGCCAAGGCUGACUCAGAGUUCCACCACCCUGUCAGG
RNAcentral lists this long non-coding RNA (418 nucleotides) under Rattus norvegicus (Norway rat). RNAcentral's name for it is "long non-coding RNA NONRATT018179". The record is from RNAcentral. Lineage: Eukaryota; Metazoa; Chordata; Mammalia; Rodentia; Muridae.